GUCUUGAUAGCUUAUAAAAGAGCAUAGCGUUGAAGGUGCUAAGGAGGGUUUAUACCCUUAAGACA
This 65-nucleotide transfer RNA is filed under the name Nodopelta heminoda. RNAcentral's name for it is "tRNA-Phe". Lineage: Eukaryota; Metazoa; Mollusca; Gastropoda; Neomphalida; Peltospiridae. The record is from RNAcentral.